GAUGAACGCUGGCUACAGGCUUAACACAUGCAAGUCGAGGGGAAACGACGGGGAAGCUUGCUUCCCCGGGCGUCGACCGGCGCACGGGUGAGUAACGCGUAUCCAACCUGCCUCUGACUGAGGGAUAACCCGUCGAAAGUCGGCCUAAUACCUCAUGGCAUCGUCUGCGGGCAUCCAACGACGAUUAAAGAUUUCAUCGGUCAGAGAUCGGGAUGCGUCUGAUUAGCUUGUUGGCGGGGUACCGGCCCACCAAGGCGACGAUCAGGAGGGGUUCUGAGAGGAAGGUCCCCCACAGUGGAACUGAGACACGGACCAAACUCCGACGGGAGGCAGCAGUGAGGAAUAUGGGGGAAUGGGCGAGAGCCUGAACCAGCCAAGUAGCGUGCAGGAUGACGGCCCUAUGGGUUGUAAACUGCUUUUAUGCGGGGAUAAAGUGAGGGACGUGUCCUUCAUUGAAGGUACCGCAUGAAUAAGGACCGGCUAAUUCCGUG
RNAcentral lists this ribosomal RNA (491 nucleotides) under uncultured bacterium. RNAcentral describes it as "partial 16S ribosomal RNA". It matches the Rfam family "Bacterial small subunit ribosomal RNA", at positions 28 to 507 of the family's 1533-position model. The record is from RNAcentral.